This 301-nucleotide ribosomal RNA is filed under the name uncultured bacterium. Its description in RNAcentral is "partial 16S ribosomal RNA". It matches the Rfam family "Bacterial small subunit ribosomal RNA", at positions 509 to 807 of the family's 1533-position model. The record is from RNAcentral.
CAGUAGCCGCGGGAAUACGAAGGGGGCUAGCGUUGCUCGGAAUCACUGGGCGUAAAGGGUGCGUAGGCGGGUCUUUAAGUCAGGGGUGAAAUCCUGGAGCUCAACUCCAGAACUGCCUUUGAUACUGAAGAUCUUGAGUUCGGGAGAGGUGAGUGGAACUGCGAGUGUAGAGGUGAAAUUCGUAGAUAUUCGCAAGAACACCAGUGGCGAAGGCGGCUCACUGACCCGAUACUGACGCUGAGGCACGAAAGCGUGGGGAGCAAACAGGAUUAGAUACCCCCGUAGUCCCUGUCUCUUAUAC